CCUAAAGGCGUAAUGAAAGUGAAGAUUKUCCUUGCGUCAAUCGAGGGAGGAUGAGUUGUGUUAUGAUACAGCUCCGCACUCCCGGGGCGUCUCAUUCUUAUUACAAGAAGAGGCGCACCUAGAGCGUACACGUUGGGACCCGAAAGAUGGUGAACUAUGCCUGGUCAGGACGAAGUCAGGGGAAACCCUGAUGGAGGUCCGUAGCGAUUCUGACGUGCAAAUCGAUCGUCGGAACUGGGUAUAGGGGCGAAAGACUAAUCGAACCAUCUAGUAGCUGGUUCCCUCCGAAGUUUCCCUCAGGAUAGCUGGCACUCGUGUUUAUACGAGUCUCAUCUGGUAAAGCGAAUGAUUAGAGGCCUUGGGGCCGAAACGACCUCAACCUAUUCUCAAACUUUAAAUGGGUGAGAUCUCUGGCUUGCUUGAAUAUAUGAAGCCAUGAGAUUUCGGAUCAGAGUGCCAAGUGG
This 464-nucleotide ribosomal RNA is filed under the name Clinocentrus sp. 1 BJS-2011. Its description in RNAcentral is "eukaryotic LSU rRNA". It matches the Rfam family "Eukaryotic large subunit ribosomal RNA", at positions 707 to 1129 of the family's 3401-position model. The record is from RNAcentral. Lineage: Eukaryota; Metazoa; Arthropoda; Insecta; Hymenoptera; Braconidae.